This 170-nucleotide non-coding RNA is filed under the name Faecalibacterium sp. CAG:1138. RNAcentral's name for it is "Lysine riboswitch aptamer". It matches the Rfam family "Lysine riboswitch aptamer". Rfam says of the family: Riboswitches are metabolite binding domains within certain messenger RNAs that serve as precision sensors for their corresponding targets. Allosteric rearrangement of mRNA structure is mediated by ligand binding, and this results in modulation of gene expression. This family includes riboswitches that sense lysine in a number of genes involved in lysine metabolism, including lysC. RNAcentral also lists the same sequence under 1 other name. Lineage: Bacteria; Bacillati; Bacillota; Clostridia; Eubacteriales; Oscillospiraceae. The record is from Rfam by way of RNAcentral.
UCAAUAGGUAGAGGCGCAGGUUUUAUGACAAACCGCAGGCACGAACCGAGCUUGCGGCGGGAAAGGAAAACUUGCCGAAAGUUUGACGGCUCGGGUUCGCGGACGUCAGGCUUGGGACAACGCAUAAUAUGCGUUGUACUGUCACCGUAAGGUGGAGCGCUAUCGGCAUU